RNAcentral lists this long non-coding RNA (208 nucleotides) under Elaeis guineensis (African oil palm). RNAcentral describes it as "long non-coding RNA (EGUI_LNC008737)". Lineage: Eukaryota; Viridiplantae; Streptophyta; Magnoliopsida; Arecales; Arecaceae. The record is from RNAcentral.
UUGGGGUUGUGUUUCUUCCUCCAAGCUGAAUAAGUUCUGGGCAGGUUAAGUAGACCAAACCUAGCUAAUUAAACUGAGAUUAUCAUAUAUUUCCUAUAGAAUAUUGAGGUCUUCUUUGAGAGAAAAAAAAGUUGAAAAGAGCAAAUUUCUUGCUGCUAGCAGAGAAAGUGGAAUAAAGGUAAAAUAUUUCAAUUUUUUAUUAUGUUGG